RNAcentral lists this ribosomal RNA (381 nucleotides) under uncultured bacterium. Its description in RNAcentral is "bacterial SSU rRNA". It matches the Rfam family "Bacterial small subunit ribosomal RNA", at positions 30 to 410 of the family's 1533-position model. The record is from RNAcentral.
AUUGAACGCUGGCGGCAUGCCUUACACAUGCAAGUCGAACGGCAGCACGGGAGCUUGCUCCUGGUGGCGAGUGGCGAACGGGUGAGUAAUACAUCGGAACGUACCCUGAAGUGGGGGAUAACGUAGCGAAAGUUACGCUAAUACCGCAUAUUCUGUGAGCAGGAAAGAGGGGGAUCGCAAGACCUCUUGCUUUAGGAGCGGCCGAUGUCGGAUUAGCUAGUUGGUGAGGUAAAGGCUCACCAAGGCGACGAUCCGUAGCGGGUCUGAGAGGAUGAUCCGCCACACUGGGACUGAGACACGGCCCAGACUCCUACGGGAGGCAGCAGUGGGGAAUUUUGGACAAUGGGCGCAAGCCUGAUCAGCCAUGCCGCGUGAGUGAAG